RNAcentral lists this ribosomal RNA (1685 nucleotides) under Cycloclasticus sp. ESRF-bin3. RNAcentral describes it as "bacterial LSU rRNA". It matches the Rfam family "Bacterial large subunit ribosomal RNA", at positions 1262 to 2925 of the family's 2925-position model. The record is from RNAcentral. Lineage: Bacteria; Pseudomonadati; Pseudomonadota; Gammaproteobacteria; Thiotrichales; Piscirickettsiaceae.
CGAGAGGUUUGCUGGAGGUAUCAGAAGUGCGAAUGCUGACAUGAGUAACGAUAAUGGGGGUGAAAAACCCCCACGCCGAAAACCCAAGGUUUCCUGCGCAAUGCUAAUCAGCGCAGGGUUAGUCGGAACCUAAGGCGAGGCCGAAAGGCGUAGUCGAUGGACAACAGGUUAAUAUUCCUGUACCGCGUAUAACUGCGAUGGGGAGACGGAGAAGGCUAGAUCAGCAUACUGUUGGAUAUGUAUGUUUAAGCAUGUAGGGCGAGUUCUUAGGUAAAUCCGGGAGCUCAUUAAACCUGAGAUGUGAUGUCGAGGACUCUACGGAGUCCGGAGUGAUUGAUGCCAUGCUUCCAAGAAAAUCCUCUAAGCUUCAGGUUAUAGGCGUCCGUACCCCAAACCGACACAGGUGGGUGGGAUGAGAAUUCUAAGGCGCUUGAGAGAACUCUGGUGAAGGAACUAGGCAAAAUGGUACCGUAACUUCGGGAGAAGGUACGCCCUCUAGGUGACGCGACUUGCUCGUUGAGCUCAAGAGGGUUGCAAUAAAAUGGUGGCUGCGACUGUUUACUAAAAACAUAGCACUCUGCAAACUCGUAAGAGGAAGUAUAGGGUGUGACGCCUGCCCGGUGCCGGAAGGUUAAUUGAUGGGGUUAUCUUCGGAGAAGCUCUUGAUCGAAGCCCCGGUAAACGGCGGCCGUAACUAUAACGGUCCUAAGGUAGCGAAAUUCCUUGUCGGGUAAGUUCCGACCUGCACGAAUGGCGUAACGACGGCCACACUGUCUCCACCAGAGACUCAGUGAAAUUGAAAUAGCUGUUAAGAUGCAGUUUACCCGCGGCUAGACGGAAAGACCCCGUGAACCUUUACUAUAGCUUUGCACUGAACUUUGAACCUAUUUGUGUAGGAUAGGUGGGAGACUUUGAAGCAGGAACGCCAGUUCUUGUGGAGUCAUCCUUGAAAUACCACCCUGGUAUGUUUGGAGUUCUAACCCAGGUCCGUUAUCCGGAUCGGGGACAGUGUAUGGUGGGUAGUUUGACUGGGGCGGUCUCCUCCCAAAGAGUAACGGAGGAGCACGAAGGUACCCUAAGGACGGUCGGAAAUCGUCCGCUUAGUGCAAUGGCAUAAGGGUGCUUGACUGCGAGAUAGACACAUCGAGCAGGUACGAAAGUAGGUCAUAGUGAUCCGGUGGUUCUGUAUGGAAGGGCCAUCGCUCAACGGAUAAAAGGUACUCCGGGGAUAACAGGCUGAUACCGCCCAAGAGUUCAUAUCGACGGCGGUGUUUGGCACCUCGAUGUCGGCUCAUCACAUCCUGGGGCUGUAGCCGGUCCCAAGGGUAUGGCUGUUCGCCAUUUAAAGUGGUACGCGAGCUGGGUUUAGAACGUCGUGAGACAGUUCGGUCCCUAUCUGCCGUGGGCGUUUGAGAAUUGAGGAAAGCUGCUUCUAGUACGAGAGGACCGAAGUGGACGAACCUCUGGUGUUCCGGUUGUCACGCCAGUGGCAUUGCCGGGUAGCUACGUUCGGACGGGAUAAGCGCUGAAAGCAUCUAAGCGCGAAGCCUCUUCCAAGAUUAAUUCUCACUGAUUCUUUAAGAAUCCUGAAGGGCCCUUGAAGACUACAAGGUUGAUAGGCAUGGUGUGGAAGCGCAGUAAUGUGUGAAGCUAACAUGUACUAAUUGCCCGUGAGGCUUGACCAU